This 92-nucleotide transfer RNA is filed under the name Bacteroidota bacterium. Its description in RNAcentral is "Bacteroidetes bacterium (sediment metagenome) tRNA-Ser". It matches the Rfam family "tRNA". From Rfam's summary of the family: Transfer RNA (tRNA) molecules are approximately 80 nucleotides in length. Their secondary structure includes four short double-helical elements and three loops (D, anti-codon, and T loops). Lineage: Bacteria; Pseudomonadati; Bacteroidota. The record is from RNAcentral.
GGUGAAGUGGAUGAGUGGCUGAAAUCAACAGUUUGCUAAACUGUCAUACGGGUUAAACCGUAUCGGGGGUUCGAAUCCCCCCUUCACCGCGA